UUUGGGGAUAAUUGGACGUUCAGGAUUGCGAACUCGGUCAGGGUUGGAAAAAAGCAGCCGUAGCAAAUACCGGAUGGGUCAAUUAUCCCAAUAGAA
This 96-nucleotide signal recognition particle RNA is filed under the name Holosporaceae bacterium. RNAcentral's name for it is "signal recognition particle sRNA small type". It matches the Rfam family "Bacterial small signal recognition particle RNA". From Rfam's summary of the family: The signal recognition particle (SRP) is a universally conserved ribonucleoprotein involved in the co-translational targeting of proteins to membranes. Archaeal SRP consists of a 7S RNA and homologues of the eukaryotic SRP19 and SRP54 proteins. The record is from RNAcentral. Lineage: Bacteria; Pseudomonadati; Pseudomonadota; Alphaproteobacteria; Holosporales; Holosporaceae.